RNAcentral lists this transfer RNA (69 nucleotides) under Hyla helenae. Its description in RNAcentral is "tRNA-Ala". It matches the Rfam family "tRNA". Rfam says of the family: Transfer RNA (tRNA) molecules are approximately 80 nucleotides in length. Their secondary structure includes four short double-helical elements and three loops (D, anti-codon, and T loops). Lineage: Eukaryota; Metazoa; Chordata; Amphibia; Anura; Hylidae. The record is from RNAcentral.
GAGGCUUUAUCUUAAUUAAAGUAUCUGAGUUGCAUUCAGAAGCUAUAGGUUAGUGUCCUAUAAGUCUUA